GGAGGCAGAGGUUGCAGUGAGCCAAGAUCUUGCCAUUGCACUCCAGCCUGGGUGACAAAAUGAGACUCCAUCUAAAAAACUAAUAAUAAUAAUAAGAGAGAGGGUUUCACUAUGUUGCCCAGGCUAGAUUCGAACUCCUGGGAUCAAGUUUUCCUCAGGCCUCAGUCUCCGGAGUAGCUAGACUACAGGCAUGGACAGCAUGGUAUUGAUGUGUGAAUAAACAUAACAUAAAGGGACAGAGUGAAGUCCAGAAGUAGAGCCACACCAGUAUGGUCAAUUGUUUUCACCAAAGAAGCCAAGGUGAUUCAAUAGUUACUUCAACAAAAAAUGACUGAAAAAUUAGACUUCAUAGCCAGGCAUAGUGGUGCACGUCUGUAGUCCCAGAUACUUGGGAGGCUGAGGCAGGAGGAUUGUUUGAUCCCAGGAAUUUAAGUUUACGAUGAGCUAUAAUCGCACCACGGCACUCCAACUUGGGCAACAGAGCAAGACCCAGUCCCCCUCCACAUAAAAAAAGAACUUCCAUAUGCAAAUAAUAAUAACUUGAAAUGGCUCAUAGACCUAAAUAUAAAAACUAAAACUAAAACUAAAACUUCUAGAAAAAAUGAGGGAACAUCUUUGUGACCUUGGGUCAGGCAAAUAUUUCUUAGGUUAGACAUAAAACCCACAAAUCAAAAAAAAACUAAUACAUUGAACUUCAUUUAAAAAAAACCCCAAACUUCUGUUCUCCAAAGACACUGUUAAGAAAAGGAAAAAAACAAACCACAGACAAGAAAAAAUAUUUGCAAAAGACAUCUUAAAUAACUUUUGUCUUUUACCAGCAAAGAAUAAAUACAGAUGGCAAAUCAACACAUCAAUAGAUACUCAGCAUAAACAGCCAUUAAGGAAAAGCAAGUUAAACUCACAAUAUAGCACCACCACACAUCUACUAGAAUGACAAAAAUUAAAAAGACUGACAAUACUAAGUGCUGACAAAGAGGCAGAGCAACUGGAUAUCUCAUAUAUUGCUGCUGGGAAUGCAAAAUGAUUCAAUCACUUUGGAAAAGAUCUUGGCUGGUUUUGUUUUUAAAUAAAGUUAAACAUAUACUUAUCAUCCAGCCCAGCAAACACAGUCCUAGAUUUUUAGCUAAGAGGAAUGAAAAUGUAUGUUCACACAAAGUCUUCUCUGCAAAAGGUUAUAUCAGCUUUAUUCAUAAAAGAAAAAAAAUAGAAAUAACCCAUUUGUCUAUUAACCAAUAAGUGGAAAAACAAUUUAUGGCAGAUUUAUAGAACAGAAUACCUCUUAGCAACCUAAAGAAACAAACCAGUGAUAUAAGCAAAAUUGUGGAUUAAUCCAAAGCAUUAUGUUAAGUUAGAGAAAAGCUAGACACGAAAGACUACAUACUGUCUAAUAUUUAUAUGAAGGUGUAGCAGCCAGGCACAGUGGCUCAUGCCAGUAAUCCCAGCACUUUGGGAGGCCAAGGCAGGCGGAUCACAAGAUCAAGAGAUCGAGAUCAUCCUGGUCAACAUGAUGAAAUCCCAUCUCUACUAAAAAUACAAAAAUUAGCUGAGCGUGGUGGCGGGUGCCUAUAGUCCCAGCUGCUCAGGAGGCUGAGGCAGGAGAAUCACUUGAACCUGGGAAGCAGAGGUUGCAGUGAGCCAAGAUGGUGCCACUGCACUCCAGCCUGGCAACAGAGUGAGACUCCAUCUCAAAAAAAAAAAAAAAAAAAAA
This 1708-nucleotide long non-coding RNA is filed under the name Macaca fascicularis (crab-eating macaque). Its description in RNAcentral is "lncRNA (ENSMFAG00000048866.1)". The record is from RNAcentral. Lineage: Eukaryota; Metazoa; Chordata; Mammalia; Primates; Cercopithecidae.